Sarcophilus harrisii (Tasmanian devil) is the source of this 1407-nucleotide long non-coding RNA. RefSeq lists it as uncharacterized. NCBI's taxonomy places the organism in Eukaryota, Metazoa, Chordata, Mammalia, Dasyuromorphia, Dasyuridae. The transcript has 4 exons. The record is from RefSeq and is a predicted model, not a curated record.
AGACCUGUUGAAGACCUUAGUUUUAAAGUGCCAAGGACACUCACUGCAUCCAGAGUCAUCUUCAAUCAUCCUUAUUUAUAUUAACCACUGACUCCGGAGAGGAAAGUGAGGCAGGUGACCUUGCACAGCCCUCCCUCCCUCACUCAAAUCCAAGUCACUUGCCUAUCAAAGCACCACCUCCCUGAUUCACGGUCCUCCUUGAGAACCAAGGACAAGCAACAAAACAUUACUUCAUUUUCCUGGAUUCCUACUCCAAAAAUGAAUCCCCUCGGGAUGGGUGGGGCAACUUUAACUACAGGUUAACAAAGUGCAACUGGUGUUUGUGAUGUCAUGAAAGACUUAGUUCCCCUAUCCUUAGUAUCCCCUUAAUAUCCCCUAUCCCUUUAGUUGGGAUGUAUAAUCAAAAGCUUCAGUCCUGCUCUAGGUGUGUCUUCUCUGGAGAGAGCUAUUAUUCUCAACUUGCUGAUUUUAAUUUUAGCCACUUUAUUUUUAUUGCUAAUUCAAUCCUCUAUCCUUCCUCUACUGGGGAAUCUUGCUGCUAAAGAGACUACAAAUUGGAAUUAGAUUAACACAUGGUUCCUGUACUUGGAAGCAUUUGAAAUAUCCUCUUUGCUGAUUUUCUUGAAGUUCUUACUGAGUCUCCCAAACACUGAGCUAGCUCUCCAGUGCAUGUGUCGGCCUCAUUAUCAAUGUUUACAUCCCUGGAAAGUAUAGUGUCAAGGAGGUGAAUGGGGAGAAAAAACCAGCCCUUUCCAAAAGUUGUGACCCAAAACUCUUCAAAAGACUGUCAUCCCAAAGUCCAAUCAAGGUUGCCAUAUUCUCAUCAGAUUUCAUCAUUAUUAAAAGAAGAUCACUUGUCCAGAGAUAAUCAGAUACCCCACUUUUAUCAGACUAGACCCAAAUUAUUACAACUUCCAAAGCCAAAGCUCACACUUGUAGAACCCUGGAAAGACAAGGAAAAAAGCCAGGAACUAUCCUACAAUCAGAAAAUGGCUGACCUGUUACCCUAUCUUGAUAGUUGGAAUAUGGCUAAACCACCUAUACUCCAGAAAUGCCAUUAUAUGGCCACAGUUUUGCCUUCAAUAUAUCAGGAGUACAGUGUUAAGAGAAUUUUUUUAACUUUGCCAACCCCAGAAUAAAAUGUAUAAUCCCAACUCAGAUCUGACCAUGAGAUUCUGUCUCUAGUUCACUAACCCCUGGGCAGAAAAUCCUUUGGAUUCUGACCAGAUUCCUAAGGUUCUAUAUUAUCUGUUAUAUUUCAACCAGCAGGCCAUGACUCGCACUAAUUGACAUUGCUUUGAGGUCCUACUUAGUGUCCCUACUUCUACAACAGAACUCCAUUAACAUGCCCAUAUUUCUAGGCUGAGGCUUUGCUGAGUCAUAAUUCCAGGAACACACCUUAAUUGU